UACGAAGGGGGCUAGCGUUGUUCGGAAUUACUGGGCGUAAAGCGUGCGCAGGCGGCUUCUCAAGUCAGGGGUGAAAUCCCGGGGCUCAACCCCGGAACUGCCUUUGAUACUGGGUAUCUCGAGUCCGGAAGAGGUGAGUGGAAUUCCGAGUGUAGAGGUGAAAUUCGUAGAUAUUCGGAGGAACACCAGUGGCGAAGGCGGCUCACUGGUCCGGUACUGACGCUGAGGUGCGAAAGCGUGGGUAGCAAACAGG
Molecule: ribosomal RNA, 253 nt
Filed under: uncultured bacterium
Lineage: Bacteria
Description: partial 16S ribosomal RNA
Rfam family: Bacterial small subunit ribosomal RNA
Source: RNAcentral